AGUGAACGCUGGCGGUAGGCCUAACACAUGCAAGUCGAACGGCAGCACAGUAAGAGCUUGCUCUUACGGGUGGCGAGUGGCGGACGGGUGAGGAAUACAUCGGAAUCUACUUUUUCGUGGGGGAUAACGUAGGGAAACUUACGCUAAUACCGCAUACGACCUACGGGUGAAAGCAGGGGAUCUUCGGACCUUGCGCGAUUGAAUGAGCCGAUGUCGGAUUAGCUAGUUGGCGGGGUAAAGGCCCACCAAGGCGACGAUCCGUAGCUGGUCUGAGAGGAUGAUCAGCCACACUGGAACGGAGACACGGUCCAGACUCCUACGGGAGGCAGCAGUGGGGAAUAUUGGACAAUGGGCGCAAGCCUGAUCCAGCCAUACCGCGUGAGUGAAGAAGGCCUUCGGGUUGUAAAGCCCUUUUGUUGGGAAAGAAAAGCAGCAGGUUAAUACCCCGCUGUUCUGACGGUACCCAAAGAAUAAGCACCGGCUAACUUCGUG
Molecule: ribosomal RNA, 492 nt
Filed under: uncultured bacterium
Lineage: Bacteria
Description: partial 16S ribosomal RNA
Rfam family: Bacterial small subunit ribosomal RNA
Source: RNAcentral